UAAUUACCAUAUUCAAGUAUUUCUCUCAGUUCACUGAAGUAUCUGGGCUAAAAGCUAAUCUCACCAAAAGUUCAGUUUACUUUGGAGGGGUUAGUUCUGAUGUCCAGCAACAAAUUACUGGUCACCUAGGUUAUGUGUAUGGAGAUUUGCCUUUCAAAUAUUUGGGAAUUCCUAUAUCCACCAAGAAGAUGGCGUUGAUUCAGUGGCAGCCUCUGGUAGAUAGGAUCACUGCUAGGAUCACCUUAUGGACUGCUAGAAAGUUAUCAUAUGCUGGGAGACUCCAAUUGGUACAAUCAGUGGUCCUUGGUAUACAAGCUUACUGGGCACAACUCUUCCUCAUACCUUCAAAAAUUCUAAAGCUUAUUGAAGCAGUCUGUAGAAGUUUUAUAUGGUCUGGAUCAGUAGGUAUUUCUAAGAAGGCCUACAUUGCCUGGGACAAAAUGUGUUUGCCGAAAUCAGCUGGUGGGCUGAACCUCACAAACCUCAUGCUGUGGAAUAAGGCAGCUAUUGAUAAACUGUGCUGGGAUCUAGCUCACAAGAAAGACACUGUGUGGGUUAGAUGACUGAACCUCACAAACCUCCUGCUGUGGAAUAAGGCAGCUAUUGCUAAACUAUGCUGGGACCUGGCUCACAAGAAAGACACUCUGUGGGUCAGAUGGAUUCACACUGUUUAUAUAAAGCAUCACCAACUGGAGAACAUUCCUAUACCCAAGCAAGCUAGUUGGAUGGUCCGAAAGAUAAUUGCANN
This 748-nucleotide long non-coding RNA is filed under the name Nicotiana benthamiana. Its description in RNAcentral is "long non-coding RNA (NBEN_LNC010366)". Lineage: Eukaryota; Viridiplantae; Streptophyta; Magnoliopsida; Solanales; Solanaceae. The record is from RNAcentral.